Molecule: ribosomal RNA, 453 nt
Filed under: uncultured Thiobacillus sp.
Lineage: Bacteria; Pseudomonadati; Pseudomonadota; Betaproteobacteria; Nitrosomonadales; Thiobacillaceae
Description: bacterial SSU rRNA
Rfam family: Bacterial small subunit ribosomal RNA
Source: RNAcentral
CACAAGCGGUGGAUGAUGUGGAUUAAUUCGAUGCAACGCGAAAACCUUACCUACCCUUGACAUGUCCGGAAUCCCGAAGAGAUUUGGGAGUGCUCGCAAGAGAGCCGGAACACAGGUGCUGCAUGGCUGUCGUCAGCUCGUGUCGUGAGAUGUUGGGUUAAGUCCCGCAACGAGCGCAACCCUUAUCAUUAGUUGCUACGCAAGGGCACUCUAAUGAGACUGCCGGUGACAAACCGGAGGAAGGUGGGGAUGACGUCAAGUCCUCAUGGCCCUUAUGGGUAGGGCUUCACACGCCAUACAAUGGUCGGUACAGAGGGUUGCCAAGCCGCGAGGUGGAGCCAAUCCCAGAAAGCCGAUCGUAGUCCGGAUUGUUCUCUGCAACUCGAGAGCAUGAAGUCGGAAUCGCUAGUAAUCGCGGAUCAGCAUGUCGCGGUGAAUACGUUCCCGGGUCUU